UCCACCUGCCACCUAAGAAAGCAGAAGAGCCUGCCCCGGGCUGUUUGACUGCUCCUUCUUGUCAUGGUUCUAUAUUAAGAUAUCUGGGAAUGUCUGUGUAUUAUGCCUAUAUGGUCAGCUGAGAGUCCCAAAAGGAGCCACACAGCCCUGGCACCAGAACUGGACCCAGUAUUCCAGCGGUGGCCGCACCAGUGCCAAAUACAGAGCCCCAGCUCUGCCAGUCCCUUUCAACGAUGAUAGCAAGUGAAACAAUCUCCAGCGAAAGGUCAGGCAUGUUAAAGUGAAUGAAAACAGCUGAAACCUGUUUAAAGCAUAACCACAGGCUUCAGCUAUAUUGGGCCUGGGCCAUUGAGACCUAUACAAGGACACUGGGACAAUAAGGAGGAGGUGACACUGAGCCUGGGAGCCUGGGGACAAAGGCCCUGAAGGUGGAAGGCAAGGACCUGGCUGCAGAUGCAUACCUGACCCUGAGCUGGAAGGUGCGUAGUGACUGAGGCAGGGGUUUGUAGGAAGA
Molecule: long non-coding RNA, 514 nt
Organism: Mauremys reevesii (Reeves's turtle)
Lineage: Eukaryota; Metazoa; Chordata; Testudines; Geoemydidae
Exons: 4
Source: RefSeq, a predicted model, not a curated record